GAUGAACGCUGGCGGCGUGCCUAAUACAUGCAAGUCGAGCGAACAGACGAGGAGCUUGCUCCUCUGACGUUAGCGGCGGACGGGUGAGUAACACGUGGAUAACCUACCUAUAAGACUGGGAUAACUUCGGGAAACCGGAGCUAAUACCGGAUAAUAUAUUGAACCGCAUGGUUCAAUAGUGAAAGACGGUUUUGCUGUCACUUAUAGAUGGAUCCGCGCCGCAUUAGCUAGUUGGUAAGGUAACGGCUUACCAAGGCAACGAUGCGUAGCCGACCUGAGAGGGUGAUCGGCCACACUGGAAGUGAGACACGGUCCAGCCUCCUGCGGGGGGCAGGAGGAGGGAAUCUUCCGGAAGGGGCGAAAGCCUGACGGAGAAACGCCGCGGGAGUGAUGAAGGUCUUCGGAUCGUAAAACUCUUUUUUUAGGGGAGAAAAAAUGUUUAAGUAACUAUGCACGUCUUGACGGUACCUAAGCAGAAAGCCCCGGCUAACUACGU
This 496-nucleotide ribosomal RNA is filed under the name uncultured bacterium. RNAcentral describes it as "partial 16S ribosomal RNA". It matches the Rfam family "Bacterial small subunit ribosomal RNA", at positions 28 to 506 of the family's 1533-position model. The record is from RNAcentral.